RNAcentral lists this long non-coding RNA (332 nucleotides) under Olea europaea (common olive). RNAcentral describes it as "long non-coding RNA (OEUR_LNC006668)". Lineage: Eukaryota; Viridiplantae; Streptophyta; Magnoliopsida; Lamiales; Oleaceae. The record is from RNAcentral.
AUAAUAUUAUACUCAAACCCAAAAUUUUUUCUUUCUUUUCAACCACAGGUUCUUCACCAAAAUACUAUUUCAAAAUGCAUUACUUCUAAAAAAAGGGGGCUCAAACAUGCUCUUAGUCUCAUUGAAAUGCUUCGCAUAUUUUAUUAUCAUUAUUUCAAAAUUUUUUAACCCUCAUACUCAUUUUCAAUUACACAUUUACACACUAAGCUCCCAUUUGGCCCUCAGACUCUUUCAUUCUUUUUUCCUUUCUUUUAUAUUCAACUCCACAAUUUUUCAUAAAAUAAUAUUAUACAUAAAUCGAAAACUUUUCAUUUUUUUUCAACCACACAUUC